Molecule: ribosomal RNA, 497 nt
Filed under: uncultured bacterium
Lineage: Bacteria
Description: partial 16S ribosomal RNA
Rfam family: Bacterial small subunit ribosomal RNA
Source: RNAcentral
GAUGAACGCUGGCGGCGUGCCUAAUACAUGCCAGUCGAGCGAACGGACGAGAAGCUUGCUUCUCUGAUGUUAGCGGCGGACGGGUGAGUAACACGUGGAUAACCUACCUAUAAGACUGGGAUAACUUCGGGAAACCGGAGCUAAUACCGGAUAAUAUUAUGAACCGCAUGGUUCAAAAGUGAAAGACGGUCUUGCUGUCACUUAUAGAUGGAUCCGCGCUGCAUUAGCUAGUUGGUAAGGUAACGGCUUACCAAGGCAACGAUGCAUAGCCGACCUGAGAGGGUGAUCGGCCACACUGGAACUGAGACACGGUCCAGACUCCUACGGGAGGCAGCAGUAGGGAAUCUUCCGCAAUGGGCGAAAGCCUGACGGAGCAACGCCGCGUGAGUGAUGAAGGUCUUCGGAUCGUAAAACUCUGUUAUUAGGGAAGAACAUAUGUGUAAGUAACUGUGCACAUCUUGACGGUACCUAAUCAGAAAGCCACGGCUAACUACGUG